CCAUCGUUGACUGGAGUUCAGACGCGCUCUUUCCAUUAAAUUCUUCUAAACCUCUUAUAUAUUUUAUAGUAAUUAUUGAAUUAAUUAGAUUAAUUAUUCGACCUUGAACUUUAUCAAUUCGAUUAUCAUCAAAUUUAAUUUCUGGACAUUUAAUUU
Long non-coding RNA from Frieseomelitta varia, 156 nucleotides. RefSeq lists it as uncharacterized. Lineage: Eukaryota; Metazoa; Arthropoda; Insecta; Hymenoptera; Apidae. The record is from RefSeq and is a predicted model, not a curated record. The transcript has 4 exons.